GUGCUCACUUUGAGAGCACAUACAGUAAGACCGGACUGACAGAGAAGAUUAGCAUGUUCCCUGUGAGAGGAUGACAGGCAAAUUCGUGACGUGUUCCAUAUUAAA
Pteronotus mesoamericanus is the source of this 105-nucleotide small nuclear RNA. The record is from RefSeq and is a predicted model, not a curated record. Lineage: Eukaryota; Metazoa; Chordata; Mammalia; Chiroptera; Mormoopidae.